CCCCUCCACCUCUCUGUGGCGUUUAAUGACCAGCGCGCUAACAUUAAGACGACCGGGGGUCCUGACGCUCGUGCUGGACUGUCCGCUGUGUCAUUGGGAUUUGGAUGCGAAGCCUACACGCUGUCUGGGAUCCUUUUCCUGGAUUAUGGGGUGGGGGUUGCUAGGGGGAGGGCCGCUGAAGACCCCUCAUGGGUCGUUGGCAAGCAGUGCCAGGGCCUCCCUCCCAGGAAGGGGGCUUGGGCUGCUGUCUGGUCCAGAACUUACCACGCCUGGGCUGCCCAGCGCCCUGCUGCCCAGGGGCCCACCCCUCGUGGUGACAGCCUCUACCUACAGACUGUGCUCUCCGUGGGACGUGCCCAGGGCAGGGAAGUGCUGGGGACAAAGAGGAUGCUAAGAGUAUGUAAAUAAACAUAUUUGCAUUUCUUUUCCAAGAGCUGAGUACUUGCUUAAACCGCCCGGGUUUCCUUUCUCGUGCCUGCUGACCUGAGCAGGAACAGAAAACCUCUGCAUUGAAGCAACAGAUAAUCUUAACUUGACUGCCAUUUAAAUUCACCUCCCCCCUCGGAUCUUCUAAAAUCUUAGGCCUUUUUAUCGCUUUACAGUAAAACACAUCAGUGGAUACUGUAGACCUCCGAGUAGUAGUCCCCCACCUCAGCCUAAGGAGGAGGCACGGCUGUGUCUAGAAGAACUUGAGACCACUGUUUGAAUGCCCAGCAAGCACAUUAG
Molecule: long non-coding RNA, 726 nt
Organism: Hyaena hyaena (striped hyena)
Lineage: Eukaryota; Metazoa; Chordata; Mammalia; Carnivora; Hyaenidae
Exons: 2
Source: RefSeq, a predicted model, not a curated record